Non-coding RNA from Miniopterus natalensis, 1039 nucleotides. NCBI's taxonomy places the organism in Eukaryota, Metazoa, Chordata, Mammalia, Chiroptera, Miniopteridae. The record is from RefSeq and is a predicted model, not a curated record.
CUCCUCCGGGCUUCCUUCAUCACUGCCGCCUCCAGGUGGAUGCCAGAGUUUGAUCCCUGGCUUUCCCAGGCUUGUUGAUGCCGACAAGGGUGCUGACUUAGCACAGGGCUCUGGGGCCAGCCCAAAUGCAGUUUGCUGAUCCCCUCUGAGCCCAGGUGUGCCUGAGAGCAGGAAACUGCCCUUUUUAUUCCACUCCUGCCUGUCUUCAGGAAAUUUAAGACCUUUGUUGUAGUUACUCUACUUCCAGGAGGGUGGGGCUGAAGUAAAGUCACCUUGCUGUACUUAGAGAAGGUAGACCAGGUGGCCAAACUAGUACGUAGACCAGGUGGCCAAAGUAGUAGGUAGACCACGUAGCUAAACUAGUAGGUAGACCAGGUGGCCAAAGUAGUAGGUAGACCAGGUGGCCAAACUAGUAGGUAGACCAGGUGGCCAGACUAGUAGGUAGACCAGAUGGCCAAACUAGUAGGUAGACCAGGUGGCUAAACUAGUAGGUAGACCAGAUGGAUAAACUAAUAGGUAGACCAGAUAACCAAACUAACAGGUAGACCAGGUGGCCAGACUAGUAGGUAGACCAGAUGGCUAAACUAGUAGGUAGACCAGGUGGCCAGACUAGUAGGUAGACCAGGUGGCCAGGCUAGUAGGUAGAUCAGGUGGCCAAAGUAGUCGGUAGACCAGGUGGCCAGACUAGUAGGUAAACCAGAUGGCUAAAGUAGUAGGUAGACCGGGUCAACAAAUUAGGAGGUAGACCGGAUGACCUAGCCUGAAGGUAGACAUGGUGGCCCAGCCAGAAGGUAGACUAGAUGGCCCAAUGUUGAGGUGCACCUGUAGUGGGGAGGGGUGUAGAGGGGGUGUAGAGCUUGACACUUAGGAAAGGCUGAUGGCGGAGAUGAUUCCACUCCAGCCCCACUCAGCUCCUGUGCUGCCCUCUUGUGGUCACUCAUUCAACGCACUGUCCUUGGCUGCCUUUGGCAGGCACAUGGCUGGGCUCUGGAGCUGCCCGAGCCACCUCUGUCCCUGACUGAGUCCUCCAUGCCCCUCU